This 438-nucleotide ribosomal RNA is filed under the name uncultured bacterium. Its description in RNAcentral is "partial 16S ribosomal RNA". It matches the Rfam family "Bacterial small subunit ribosomal RNA", at positions 29 to 507 of the family's 1533-position model. The record is from RNAcentral.
AACGAACGCUGGCGGCAUGCCUAACACAUGCAAGUCGAACGAGACCUUCGGGUCUAGUGGCGCACGGGUGCGUAACGCGUGGGAACCUGCCCUUAGGUUCGGAAUAACUCCCCGAAAGGGGUGCUAAUACCGGAUAAUGUCUUCGGACCAAAGAUUUAUCGCCUUUGGCUGGGCCCGCGUUUGAUUAGCUUGUUGGUAGGGUAAAAGCCUACCAAGGCGACGAUCGAUAGCUGGUCUGAGAGGAUGGUCGGCCACACUGGGACUGGGGUACGGCCCAGACUCCUACGGGAGGCAGCAGUGGGGAGUAGUGUACAAGGGGCGGAAGCCUGAUGCAUCAACGCCUCGUGCGGGAGGACGGCCUUCGGGUUGUAAACCGCUUUCGCCUGUGACGAAGCGUGAGUGACGGUAAUGGGUAAAGAAGCCCCGGCUAACUACGUG